Molecule: long non-coding RNA, 333 nt
Organism: Mauremys mutica (yellowpond turtle)
Lineage: Eukaryota; Metazoa; Chordata; Testudines; Geoemydidae
Exons: 3
Source: RefSeq, a predicted model, not a curated record
UUUCACCCUUUAGCAACAGCCAACGCGGAAAUCCAGGCAGCAGAGUAAUGCACCGAGAUGGGGGUGGCUGCCGGUGGCAACAAUAAAUAGAAGAACAUGAAGCUUGUGUCUGGAGCCUCCUGACCUCAUGACGCAGAUCAGGUCCAGAACCAAGCAGGUGACUCAGCAGGGUGAGAAGUGGAUCUCAGGCAACAGGCAACAGAUGGACCUCCAGACACAGACAGGCUGUGUGACUGAAACGUUGUUUCCUGGAUUGCCCACUACUUAUAUAAUGGUUGGCAAGAGGAACAUGGAAUCUGGAUGAACAAUGGCUAUGGAGCAUCUGGAUGGAGA